AUUUUCAGGUUACAAAAGUAUCGCUAAGCUUCUCAUCGAUAAAGGAGCCAAUACUGGUAUUAAAAAUAAUGAGAAUCGUGUACCUCUUCAAUUAGCUGCUCAAAAUGGUCACGAUGAUGUCGCCAAACUCUUUAUCGGUAAAGGAAACAAAAUUAAUAUUGAAGAGCAAUUGGAAUAGAUUCAAUAUGCUGCCAACAAUGGUGGCGAAUAGCUGAACGCCACUAAUUCAGCUGAAUAAUCGGAUGAUUUCUUUCAGUUCCCGUAUUCAAUUUUAGUGUAGCAUAUUAAUUUCAAUUCUUGUUUGUCAAUCUUUAACCAUGCUGAUAUUGUUGCUUUGUUGGAACAUCGGUUUUCAGAAGAAAAAAAAACAGCUCAAAAAUUUCAAAUUGCUCACUGUAUUGAAUCGUUUUCUCCUGGAUUUGUGAAACCCCAAACGUGCUGAAUAUGAAACGCGAUCUGAAUGAUUGAUAUCUCGUAGGUAACUAUGGAGAGACAUCACAUCCAAAUCGAAUAUUUGUUGAAGAAACCCAGCGGAAAAAUGUUCUACCCGAAACCUAAGCCACAAGCGGUCCACAUCAAAAAUCCAAUUAGUUCUUUCGACAGAAUGUAAAUAA
This is a long non-coding RNA of Sitodiplosis mosellana (orange wheat blossom midge), 614 nucleotides long. RefSeq lists it as uncharacterized. Lineage: Eukaryota; Metazoa; Arthropoda; Insecta; Diptera; Cecidomyiidae. The record is from RefSeq and is a predicted model, not a curated record. The transcript is spliced from 3 exons.